Molecule: long non-coding RNA, 603 nt
Organism: Austrofundulus limnaeus
Lineage: Eukaryota; Metazoa; Chordata; Actinopteri; Cyprinodontiformes; Rivulidae
Exons: 2
Source: RefSeq, a predicted model, not a curated record
AAAAAUACAUUCAUUUUUAUUACAAAAAUUUGAUGUCACAGGAACUUUAAAAGCGAUUUUAAAUUAUUAACAACAGGGCAUCAGUACUACAAAGCUCAACAAAUAUUUAUCUUUUAUCAGAGCCCAAGUUCAUUCCAAACGGCAAAAAGUGUUUCAGCUGUGAAGGACUAAAAUGCACCAGAGGUCUGAACUGUGAGGGGAGCGAGGACUACUGCAUCAAAUCCUCACUGACUGUCGGAGGGGAAAUGAAGCUCAUGAAGGGCUGCGCCUCAAAGAUUAUGUGCUCGGAUAAUUCGUCUGCACUUUUACAAAAUUACCUUGGAUCUGGAAGCAGCUGCUGCCUGGGCGACUACUGCAACAGGGCGAGCUGUAAAAGUGCUGGCCUGCUUCUGCUGACAGUGCCACUCAUCUUAGUGCUUUGUUUUCUUAGCAGAUGAAAACAGCAUCAGUGAAAACACAGUAUCACUGAGUCAACACCUCAGUUUUUCUGUCUUCAGCUGAUUUUAAAAUGCACAUGACAAUUAAUAAAAAAUGCUUUAUUUCCUUUCAUCUACCUGUCUUAUUGCUUAUAUAAUUUUUUACUUAAAUAAAAAUGAAAAAACA